GGCAGCAUCCCUCCCGCGGGAUAGGGAAGGCCCGGCACAGACCUCUCUGCCUUGGCCGCCUGUCCCCUCCUUAGCGCCGGCUGUCCCGUGGGCGGCCGAGGAGAAGCGCCGCAUCUCCCGCCGGGAGCACUGAGAGGAAGGGCUCAAUAAGCAAAGAAAAUACCCAGUGUAAAUGUAUUAAGAUUUCCGAUGAAAUCAAGAAAAAAGAGUAUUCGUACAAGGUCAAAAAAAGAAGAAAGUCUUUCAGGAAAGAUCAAACUUAUGAUUGAUGAGCAGAUGGAUAUUUUAAAUGAUGACAUCUUUAAUACAAAACUAGAAAGUUUAAGCAGAAGAGUUGAACAAGUACAAUGCAAAAAAAACCAUGAAGAAAUAGCUAAAGCAUUCCUAAAGAAAGUAUCAAAACUUGAGAGACAUAUUAAUGCUGCAAUAGCCUUUCAGGAGAAAGUGGCUGCUCAUCAGACAAUCCUUCCAAGUCCAGACUAUGAAAAACCAGUACUAAACCAGCUUGGACCUUCUGCUUUCUGUCCUGAGGUCAUAAAUACACCAAUAAAUUCCUCAAGUGCACUUUCGCUGUCACCUAACACUGGUUUCACUUCAGCAUAUGUUUCAGAAUAUAUAAGUUCUGAUGAAGUCAUACUGGUCUCCGUGGAAAAUAAAAAUUCAGCAACUGAAAAUAAUUCAGCUAUUCCAAAUAACCAAAUGUCUACUCAAGCAGAAAUAUCAGCAACAGUUCAGAGUGAAAAGAAGGAAAGAAAACGCAAAGUGAUCAAACUAACAGAAGUAAACCACAACUGUAGCAAAGGGUAUAAAGGACCAGUUCACUGUUAGCAGCAAAAGGAGUCCGGGAGAUACACUGAGGAUAUGAUCGCUGGUGUUCCCUCAUCUGUUGUUGCACACAAACUUUCAAGCAAUUUCCACAUCUUCCUGCACUGCCAAGGAUCCCCCAUUGUCCAGAGCUCACUGAAGAAUUCAAAGACUCUCCUCAGA
This is an RNA transcript of Calidris pugnax (ruff), 987 nucleotides long. It is a transcript of the gene named activating transcription factor 7 interacting protein 2, with no coding region annotated. The transcript is spliced from 10 exons. The record is from RefSeq and is a predicted model, not a curated record. NCBI's taxonomy places the organism in Eukaryota, Metazoa, Chordata, Aves, Charadriiformes, Scolopacidae.